RNAcentral lists this ribosomal RNA (465 nucleotides) under uncultured bacterium. RNAcentral's name for it is "partial 16S ribosomal RNA". It matches the Rfam family "Bacterial small subunit ribosomal RNA", at positions 28 to 507 of the family's 1533-position model. The record is from RNAcentral.
GACGAACGCUGGCGGCGUGCUUAACACAUGCAAGUCGAACGGAAAGGCCCUGCUUGCCGGGUACUCGAGUGGCGAACGGGUGAGUAACACGUGGGUGAUCUGCCCUGCACUUCGGGAUAAGCCUGGGAAACUGGGUCUAAUACCGGAUAGGAGCCAUUUUUAGUGUGAUGGUUGGAAAGUUUUUUCGGUGUAGGAUGAGCUCGCGGCCUAUCAGCUUGUUGGUGGGGUAAUGGCCUACCAAGGCGGCGACGGGUAGCCGGCCUGAGAGGGUGGACGGCCACAUUGGGACUGAGAUACGGCCCAGACUCCGACGGGAGGCAGCAGUGGGGAAUAUUGCACAAUGGGCGCAAGCCUGAUGCAGCGACGCCGCGUGGGGGAUGACGGCCUUCGGGUUGGAAACUCCUUUCGCUAGGGACGAAGCUUUUUGUGACGGUACCUAGAUAAGAAGCACCGGCUAACUACGUG